This 1309-nucleotide long non-coding RNA is filed under the name Betta splendens (Siamese fighting fish). RNAcentral's name for it is "lncRNA (ENSBSLG00000008761.1)". The record is from RNAcentral. Lineage: Eukaryota; Metazoa; Chordata; Actinopteri; Anabantiformes; Osphronemidae.
CAGUCGAGCCCAGUCCAGGUUUCAGCCCAGUCAAGCCCAGUCCAGGUCUCAGCCCAGUCGAGCCCAGUUCGGGUUCCAGCCCAGUUGAGCCCAGUCCGGGCUCUAGCCCCGCUCCAGUCGAGCCCAGUCCAGUCGAGCCCAGUCCAGUCGAGCCCAGUCCAGUCGAGCCCAGUCCAGUCGAGCCCAGUCCAGUCGAGCCCAGUCCAGAUCCCAGUCCAGUCGAGCCCAGUCCAGGGCCCCGUUCAGUCCGGUCACGCUCAGGUCCAGUCGAGGCUAGCCCACGUUCCAGUCCAGUCGAGUCACGUUCCAGUCCAGUCGAGUCACGUCCCAGUCCAGUCCAGUCACGCUUAGUCCUUGUCCCAGUCAGAGGGCACCGUCCGUCUGACGACUGUUAGUUCCACCCAAUCAGGCCGACGUCUCCUCCGUCGAGCUCGGCAGCUGUAAGCAGUCAUGCCGGCUCCGGAGGGGACGCCGUCCCAGUUCCUGUCGACCCGUUAGGGGUCGUUCCUGUCCCCGUCGGCUCUAGUAAGGACGCCGUUCCUGUUCCUGUCGGCCAUGUUGAGGCCGUUCCUGUUCCUGUCGGCCAUGUUGAGGCCGUUCCAGUCCCUGUCGGCCAUGUUGAGGCCGUUCCAGUCCCGGUCGGCCAUGUUGAGGCCGUUCCCGCCCCUGUCGGCCAUGUUGAGGCCGUUCCCGCCCCUGUCGGCCACGCUGAGGCCGUUCCCGCCCCUGUCGGCCAUGUUGAGGCCGUUCCCGCCCCUGUCGGCCAUGUUGAGGCCGUUCCCGCCCCUGUCGGCCAUGUUGAGGCCGUUCCAGUCCCGGUCGGCCAUGUUGAGGUCGUUCCUGUACCUGUCGGUUCCGUAGUUCCUGUCGGCCAAGUAGCGGUCGUUCCAGUCCCCGUUCCUGUCGGCCCGAGAGAGGUCGUUCCAGUCUCUGUCAUCCUCGGAGCCGCAGCGCCCGCGGACCUCCAGGAGGAGGCGGCGCCAGCUGCAGUCCCUGCGCACCUCCAGGAGGAGGUCGCGCCAGCUGCAGUCCCUGCGCACCUCCAGGAGGAGGUCGCGCCAGCUGCAGUCCCUGCGCACCUCCAGGAGGAGGUCGCGCCAGCUGCAGUCCCUGCGCACCUCCAGGAAGGGGUCGCGCCAGCUGCAGUCCCUGCGCACCUCCAGGAAGGGGUCGCGCCAGCUGCAGUCCCUGCGCACCUCCAGGAGGGGGUCGCGCCCCCGUCGCAGUCCCGGCGGACCUCCAGGAGGGGGUCGCGCCCCCGUCGCAGUCCUUGCUGACCUCCAGGAGGGUGUCAUUCCCGUCGCAGCUC